Molecule: small RNA, 29 nt
Filed under: Bombyx mori (domestic silkworm)
Lineage: Eukaryota; Metazoa; Arthropoda; Insecta; Lepidoptera; Bombycidae
Description: ovarian small RNA-27925
Source: RNAcentral
UCCUGCCCAAACACACUAAAUCGGUGUUG